ACCUCUGCAAUUUAACUAGGCGUUGCUCAGAAGGAGUAUUCUUUGAUGAAUGAAAAGUUUUCAUAUUUCCAAUGCGUUAACAUCGAAAAAAAUUGUAAUUUAAUACCGAAAAGUUUUCAACUUCUUCGAUGGACGAGAUGACUCCCUAUGCAUAUUUUGUUUCCACUUAUUCAGAUCUGCUAUAAAUUUAUUUAAGGAAUGAUACAAAUUUUUUCACCAGUUGGAAUUAGCAAAUAAUAUUUGAGUUAACGACAAACCACCAGUUGAAGCAUAGACUGUUGACGUUUUAAACUUGUCGCCCGAAAUCAUCAAAUUCACUUAUUUAGUUUCUUUUCCUUCUCACUGUUUUUAUUUUGUUCGACAUUAUUUUGUUAUAGUGGUAAAAAUUAAAAACCAAAAUAAAAGAAAACAAUUUGAAGAAAUGAAAAUGUAUCAUAAAUGAGAAUUUAAAUUUGAUCAUUUAGAACGUAGAGCUUGACAUAAACUGCCAUACAAUCAAUUUGAAAUAAUUGUUUUCUUAUGGAACAUUUAUUUCAUGCAGGGGAAAGGCUUAGCUUAAAUAGGUCGACAUUUGUAUAAUAUAAUCUUCAACCAAAGUAAUUGAUCCGAAUUUCACCGAAACUUCUACAUACUGUAUAUCAUUGUCAUUUGUAUAGUCUACUGUUUCAAUUCAUGAGUUCCUCUUAUGUUACAUUUUUCACAAAAUUCUGCAAAAUCUAGUCAAACCAAAAGAAAGCGCGUUCUUUUCAAAUAAUCAAAAGAUUGCCCUUUGAAGUUGCACUUAAACUGGGUAGGAAACUUUGCUUGAUACUGGAUUAUUGUCUAACUAAACAGCGCUAAUACUAAUAUUUCACAGCCUUUAAGUGAAUCGUGAUUGUAGAAGUGGACUUGAAAGGUCAAAUGGAAAAUUCUCAGCUCUGUAUUAAUGUAUGAUCUUAUUUAUCAAUGGUUGGUGACUGUCUAUAUCAUUUCAGUUUUGAGAAAGAAAUGUAUUUUGGUGUAUAAUAUAAAACUUUAUAGAAUGGUAAUAAGUGGAUAUGGCGUUGUUCCUCAAUUACCUGAGUAUUUUUAUGCUGUUUCUGUAGAAACACUUGUUAAUUUAACCAUUUCAAAGUUUCUACAAACUAAAAUUAACGUAUUUCGUAAUAAAUAAGUUUUAAUAAAUUUUGUGUGCACACUAUUUAGUUUUCUUAACAUGACACAUCGAUAUAUAUACACUUGUAGAGUUUGGUCAUGUAAAUAAGAUAGUCACUACAUAGUUAACUCCCUUAGUGUACACACUUUAGUUACAACCCAUUGAUGAAAUUAUUCCUUUGGGAUAAUAAAACAUUAAAAAUAUACAAAUCAAAUUUUUAUCUCAUUCGACAGAUUUUUCAAAGUUGUCAGAAAAUAUAAUUCGUUUUAAAAUAACAAUAGAGUAGGUAUUUCUAGAAAGAGAAAGAAAAUUCAUUCCCUACAUUACUAGUUGCAAUUUUAGCAAUACUUACGUACAUGCAAAAAUAACAUCUACGCUGAUCUUCACAAUCCACUGCAUUCCUAUUUACCAUACCUAAGCAACGAUCAACUAAAGUGUUUUAAAAUUUACUCCUGAAAAUAUCAGGUGAGUCAUUUUUUAAACAAAUAAUGAUGGCAAUUUUGUUUAUGGAAACUACUUUUGCUUGGAUGAAUUUUGUUUUUAUUUGUGACAGUAUAUAUCGAUGACAUUUGAAAACAACUUUUACUUCUUAAAAGUAGCGAGUUAACUAUGAUUAAAAAGAAGUAUUGUGAUUUUUAUUGCUAUUGUUGUAUUUUAAAUAUUAAUGAGAGGCAUGACAAUUAAAGCAUUAAAGUUCGUGUGAUAAAAAAUAGUAAUUAAUCCGAAUUUCACCGAAACCUCUACAUACUGUAUAGACUACUGUUUCAAUUCAUGAGUUUAUUUUAUGUUACAUUUUUCUCAAAAUUCUGCAAAAUUUAGUCAAACCAAAAGAAAGUGCGUUCUUUUCAAAUAAUCAAAAGACUGCUUUAAUCUAGAAACUCGCAUGGGCCAAAGUGUUAUGCAGUAGUUCAGAAUUGGCGCCUGUGCAAUAUAUAUCUUUAAACGGAGACAAUUUACAUUAAUUUAUUAGUGUCUUGACUUGGCAAGAAUACAUUGGCACUACACGAUACUUGUCAGAGACUUCAAGAUCCUAGUUUGUAUAAGUUAAAUGCUAAACUAUCUAAAAAUUGUUCGGCAUUCUUUCGAAGGAAUGACAGAUAGAAUAUCUAUAUCCAAAGAAUGUCAAUUGGGCAAUUGUUUUUAUUCUAGAGGGUAAACAAAUAUAGAAAUAAUUAAAUUC
Molecule: long non-coding RNA, 2315 nt
Filed under: Octopus vulgaris (common octopus)
Lineage: Eukaryota; Metazoa; Mollusca; Cephalopoda; Octopoda; Octopodidae
Source: RNAcentral